This is a long non-coding RNA of Tribolium castaneum (red flour beetle), 2956 nucleotides long. RefSeq lists it as uncharacterized. The transcript has 6 exons. The record is from RefSeq and is a predicted model, not a curated record. NCBI's taxonomy places the organism in Eukaryota, Metazoa, Arthropoda, Insecta, Coleoptera, Tenebrionidae.
UAACUUUCCUCGGCUCAUAUGUCACGAUUUUGCGCAAACACAAACAAAUUAGCCGUUUCCCAGCCGAGGGAAGCAGAAACUGAAAGUAAGGGAAAAUUGCCAGAUAAAAAUAUCUCAGUAAGCAGCAAACAUCCACUUGUAUUUCCUCGGAUUUAACAUGUUGAUGAUAAUUUCUCUCGAAUCCUGGGGACCCGAGAGAUAAACCAGUCCUGAACCGAACGGAAAAACUCAGGAAGUUGUAAUGGGCAAGAGAGGGAAAACUGCUACUUUCCGAUUAAGCUUUCCACCUGAACGUGCUUUCCACUUGGGCGAAAUCACUAUUGGGGCUCCAAGUCAAUUUUUACCAGCUAAUUCGUCUGCAAUAUUCCAAGUGGUAAAUAUCAGCGAGUUCGUGACACGUCAGACAAAGAGCGCGCUGCUGCAUUGAAGAGAAAAUUGCGCUUCCCGGAUAGAAUACAAACGUGCAGCCUGGAGAAGUCUUCAUUUAAUUAGAAUUCUUUAUAUUUCAUUCAGUGAGAAAGCCAUUUGUCGUCGGAGGAAUGUGUCGCUCCACUUGAAAAUCUAGUGCUCUCCGAAGCCGCAUCCAGCAGGUAUUCAUGGAUGUGAACGACCGUCCCUUUUAGACAAAAGAUAGUGCUCUUUUGGUUCCGCUUUGGUGAUUCUGCUUCCGGUUCGGUAAGAAGAUUGCUUCCGUUGCUCUGUUGAGGACGUGCCGCGCUUCUGAUUAAAUGUUUCGAUUUUUUGUUUUUUUUUCUGCUCCGAGGAAAAUUAGGAUAAAUUGCACAGGAAACGUACACAACUCAUGCUAACACGGUGAGAAGGUUGCUAAUUAUAAUAAUCCCAGAGAUGGAUUUUAUUUCAGUAAACUGGGAAUACAGUUAAUAUGGAAAUAGCCGAUUAAAUCAAGAUGCAAUUAUUCAUAAAUUCCUAAAUAAUCUACAGUUUGAAGAUCAUUCAAGCCAACGAACAUCACUCACCUCGAAUUGUUUCUUAGAGAAAAUGAACACAAAUUGAUUACAAACUCAUACCUAAUACGUUUUCAUGGUGCAUUUAGCAUGAAGUUGGUAUAAUUUGCAGAGAUCUGGGAGGAACAACUGAAGUGAAGAACCAGUUUCAGAUCUUUAAUCUGCUGAAGGGAUACCUCAACCGACCUUAACUUGGGCAAAGUCAGGCCUCGCUGCGGUAGGUAAUAAGAACACCCUUCCUGUAAUAAAACCAAACAGUUGUGCCGUUAAAAGUAUCAGAACACAAAGACACCGAACAGAUGCCGUGCCAUAAAACAAAAAUUUAGUUGCAACAGAACAAACAACAAGUUCCUCCAUGUAAAUUGAAUCUUUCUCUUCGAGCAAAAACCCAAGAGAGCUUAAUGCAAUAGACACACGCCUAAGUGGCUCUUAUCACCAACUGGAACAUCUUUGACGGCUUCCAAUCAAUUCCACAUUACGUUCGCACAUGUUACAUUGUAGAGAUAGGUAAAAGUAGCAUCUCUCUAAAUAUAUCCCUUGAGAAAGCAUAGCAUGUGCAGAUGUCGACGGACGUGCAUCGGUAACAUACCGUCGAUUGUUUCGCCUGUAUAUAGGGCCCAGACAAAGCAUAGAAACACGCUGGACCAUGAGAAAUGCGCCUGUAUUGAUUAUGCACGCGUGAUAUGAUCACCAGUGGCGUAGAUAAUGACACAAAGAGUGUAACAAUAAAACGAGUGGAUUGGUCAUGGGCUCUGUGACGUCUUCAAACGCCACUAAAUCAUGAAUCACCAGCAAUGCCAGCAAAUUCACUUUUACCAACGCACUUGAACUUGUUUCUUCUUAAAUAUUCAAAGCAUUAGAAUAUAAAUUGAGAGUCCAGCUUUACGACUCACAAAUUAAUACAGAUAAUCGUGCAAAUUCGGGCGAUUUUUUUCCAAAUUGCACUAAAAAUCACAAUGGUAGAUGAAAUACCGAACCUUUUGUGGAACGCCUACUACGCUCUGGAAUAGUUUAUCUCAUUGAGUAAAAAACUUGUCCGAUGUGCUAAUUUCUACCUGGGGAUCAUGCCGAGAGCCCCGAUCCGAUCGGCACCCAAGUGGUAUUACAAAUGUACAGAUCUGUAUCUAUUCUUUAGGAAGCGUCCGUCCCCAUUGGUGAAAAAGCAAGAUCAUUAUGGGCGUUAUAAACAAGGCUUUGCAACCCUUCUAACUUAUCCCGUGCAAGUAUUCACGUUUACAACCCGUAGAAACACUCUUCAAUGUACAGCCAGCCAAACGCAGACGGAUUCCUGCACUCAAAACAAGCAAAAACAAUGCCCGGCAUUACCAUUGAAUCGCAUUAUAGACAUACGAAAUAAUUACAAGCUAGAUGACUGACUAUUAAGUUGUAUUUUUGUGUCAGCGGACGGAUUUUUGCGAAUAAUAAAGCGAGGAUCAAAGACAGCUGAAUGCAACGACCCACCGUUGCCGACUUAAUGAUACGGUGGGUUGCAAGCACACAUUAGUGGCCUUUUUGUGUUGUGCGAAAUGCACGUCUUUCCCAAAUUCCGGUGAAAAAAUGACGGUUAUUUUGUAAUAAUACGCUCGGUUUCUUGCUACAUAUCGGUGUAAUUGAUUCGAAAAGGCCGACUGGAAUCUGGAAUGUUGAAAAGGCUACCUGUGCUUUCAUUUUUCUUAGUCGGGCGAGUGGAACAAGGAGGGGAAAAGAUUCCAGAUGAUUCAUGUGGACAGAUAUAUGGACUAAUAAUUACCACUCCGACAGGACAAUGUAUUGCGACCAACAAAUUUUUAAUACACAGUGAUUUUGUUAAUUAACUGUUUCAAAUUAAAACCGAUACCAUCAUUGGGAUUAAUUGGCUUAAUGGUAAUGUUUGCCUUUAUGAAAAAAUAAUUAUUUUCAUGAAAUAUGCUUCCAAAUUGGUAAUUAAUUGGUGGGUAAUUUAGAGGUGAAUUAAUCCAAUCCAUAUUAUUUAUCACUGAACAUAUAAAUUU